GUGCGAACGCCGGAAGAGUCCCAGAGUGGAGCGGAGCUCUUGGUGCCCCUGAGGUGAAACCACUCUGAGGCAAUGACAGAGAAGCAUUAACAUCUAACAGCUCAUGACUGCAAAACAACUCCAGUCUGACCUGGGUGGUUAAUGGGGACUGCCACUAUUACGAUGCCUAUAUUUGGAAAUUUCAAGGUUUUCUUCCAAUAAACUGUUUGACUCCACUGACUUUACAAAACCACAGGACGGAGGGAAAUCGGUUGGUACAUAAACAGCCCUGUUGUAAGUUAUCCAUCAAGUCAAGAUCGC
Molecule: long non-coding RNA, 300 nt
Organism: Gasterosteus aculeatus aculeatus (three-spined stickleback)
Lineage: Eukaryota; Metazoa; Chordata; Actinopteri; Perciformes; Gasterosteidae
Source: Ensembl